AGAGUUUGAUCAUGGCUCAGAACGUACGCUGGCGGCACGCCUAACACAUGCAAGUCGAACGAAGUAGCAAUACUUAGUGGCAGACGGGUGAGUAACAUGUAGGUAUCUGCCCUUUGGCCUGGAAUAACACGAGGAAACUUGUGCUAAUACCGGAUAAGUCUUUACAGAGAAAGCUUUAUGCACCAUUGGAUGAGCCUGCACUUGAUUAGUUUGUUGGUGGGGUAAUGGCCUACCAAGACUGUGAUCAAUAGCUGAUUUGAGAGGAUGAUCAGCCACAUUGGGACUGAGACACGGCCCAAACUCCUACGGGAGGCAGCAGUGGGGAAUCUUGCACAAUGGAGGAAACUCUGAUGCAGCGAUGCCGCGUGAGUGAAGAAGGCCUUUGGGGUGUAAAGC
Molecule: ribosomal RNA, 396 nt
Filed under: uncultured bacterium
Lineage: Bacteria
Description: bacterial SSU rRNA
Rfam family: Bacterial small subunit ribosomal RNA
Source: RNAcentral